This 581-nucleotide transfer RNA is filed under the name Bartonella sp. BvS12. Its description in RNAcentral is "partial 16S-23S ribosomal RNA intergenic spacer". The stretch from base 232 to 305 matches the Rfam family "tRNA". The record is from RNAcentral. RNAcentral also lists the same sequence under 1 other name. Lineage: Bacteria; Pseudomonadati; Pseudomonadota; Alphaproteobacteria; Hyphomicrobiales; Bartonellaceae.
GAUGAUGAUCCCAAGCCUUCAGGCGUUCUGUUUAUCAAAUUUCGAAAGCGUUAAAAAACACUUGAAAGCGUUUAAAAGACCUUCAAGUGCGUUUAGGAAACAGCUCGAAAGUGUUUAAGAAACAUUUAAAUGCGUUUAAAAACAUCUAAAGAAGGUGUUAAAAAAACAAAUAUGUUUCUUAAACAUAUUUUUUAUCUGUCCCGAGGAAGGUUUUUACCAAUACACUCCUGAGGGCUUGUAGCUCAGUUGGUUAGAGCGCGCGCUUGAUAAGCGUGAGGUCGGAGGUUCAAGUCCUCCCAGGCCCACCAAUUAAUGAUCGCUAAUAAAGUUUGCUGAUAAAUUUUUUGCAGACCUUUUGAUGGUCUUUUAUGGUGCAAUCUUUUAUUUUUAUGCUGCAAUCUUUCAAAAGUAUUUGAACUAUUUUAGGGGCCGUAGCUCAGCUGGGAGAGCACCUGCUUUGCAAGCAGGGGGUCGUCGGUUCGAUCCCGUCCGGCUCCACCAUCUUUGGUCAUCGUCAUCGUUAGAGAGCACUAUUUGCAAUAGAUCUAUAGAUCUUAAGUCUAUCAUCUGUUGCCUGUUCU